UUCCAGUGAGCCGAGAUGGUGCCACUGCACUCCAGCCUGGGCAACAGAGUGAGACUCAGUCUCAAAAUAAAAAAAAAAAAUUAACAGAAAAGUAUGUGUUAAUGUUUGUAUGUGCCCUAGUGUAGAAAAGUAAAAUGUACUGGGAAAUUAACAAGACAGUUUAUUGUUUUUGAGGUUUUUUUACAGAUAUAUAGCAAUUACUGUCUCAUAAUUUACAUUUUUAUAUGCAAACAUACUUCUGGGAUUCCUUUUGGCUUUUAUUUUCUUACCUCUCUACAGUCUACUAUCCCAAUCUGGUUAAAAAUGAGAAAUAAUUUUUCAUAUCUUAUAUUUUUAUGUCUUGUCAAACAACACUUGCUUACCCCACAAAGUGUCAAGAAGCAUGUUUUUUUUUAAUUACAUAAAAGGGUGAAACUAUUCAACCAAAUAAUGAAAACACUAGUAGAUUUGGCAUGGUUUUUUUUUUUUUCUUUCCCACUAUGGCACAAGUAAUGUUUAAAUGUUUAUAUUUGAACUCAAAGAAAUUUUGCCCUCAAUUAACAAACCCAACUGAGCAAAGUAUUUUUAGACCAGAUAGGGUAUGGGCAGUAGAAAUACGGAAUCUUUUAUUAUUUUUCCUUUGGCGGGUAGGGAGGAGGUUGGGGAAAUAUCUCAAGGAUAAAAUGCUCUAGGUCUUUUACCCAUGUGUGCCAGUGGACCCCAGCUGAAGUCAGGACUAACAUUACUGCUGGGUAAAUGAAUGUACUAGUCUUUUGUUAUGAAUGUGAAACUACUGGACUGUUCAUUCAAAACAAGGUUGCAUAAACCCAUAUCAACAGAAACAGAAGAAACCCUGGCUACACACAUAAGACUUUCUGGACAAUGCACUGUAUGAUGGAAAGAACAACAAAAUAAAAGUCAGAAUCCUGAUGGCCCUUAGUCAUUUUUAACUGGUGUUAGGCAUAUCACUUAAAGCCACUGAGUUUCAGUUGGACUCAUUUGCAAAGUAUGGAAGUUUUACUGUAUUGUCUGUUGAAGCCUCUGUGUACUCUAAAACUCCAUGAUUCUUUGUGUCUCAUAUGAGUCAUUUUUAGUUCAGAAAGGUAGAAUAAUAGAGAAUUGGUUUGUAACAGCUUGGCAACCAACUGUCAAUAACUGGAAUCAAUAAAAGCAACUAUUUCAAAAGAUCAGAUUACCAGUUGCACUAAUAAAGAUUUAUUACUUUAAACCUUUAUCAUAAAAUGUAUGCUUUGAAUACUGUAAAGUACACUGCAUAUAAGGAGUUUGGUAUACUAUAAAGAAACUUUUUCUGCAGGUAGUAAUUAUAGUGAAGAUUUUAGGUUUACAAAGCCCUAGCUGUUUUCUGUGUAGCUGUUGUUAUUCUUAUGACUCUUGAAAAGUUUGUAGCUUCACCAUAUACAUUUAAUAUUUUGCAAUAAUUGGCCUUGUUCCUGAGCUGUUGGAUUCGGGGCCGUAGCACUGUCUGAGAGGUUUACAUUUCUCACAGUGAACCGGUCUCUUUUUCAGCUGCUUCCUGGCUUCUUUUUACUCAGGUUUCCACUGCUUUUUUGCUUUUUUUUAAUGCUGUAUGAAGGUGUUAACAUUUGUUUAUAUUUUUCAUUAAUUGUAAUACCUUUAAAUCAUGCAUCAUACUCAGAAAUAGGGAUUUGAAUUUAAGUGACAGCUUUGGCCUAAUGUAAUUUACCUAUUAAAAAUUUGUGAGAGCUAUUGCUUAUUUCUUUUCCAAAGUAAGAUUUGGAUGGCAAAUUCAGUUUGGUUUUGAGCUUAUAUAAAAAGCUUAAUGUUUUAAGCAUACCAAACUCAUUAGCAGAAGUCAAGUAUAUCUCUCCCUAUUGCUACACAACUUUUUAGGGAUAUUGUUAUAUAUGAAAGCAUGACAUCAGACAGACCUAAUACACCUAAAUGCAUUUGAAGCUACUUGGGCUCAGCUCUUACCAACGAUAUAAUUUAAUUUUUUUCCCCAAACAAUGAUGUUGUUGCAUAUCUUUGGGAAGCAAAAUGAUUCUGUGAAACUAUACUUUUAGUUUUGCAACCAUUUGAUAACUUCAAAGAUUAUCAUUGCAUUAUAUCCUUAGUCUUAGCUUUCCAGAUAACCCAGAAUCAUAUGGUUCCAAGUUGAUUAAGCUUUGUUACCAGCAGACUAUGGUAGGAUCCUGAUGAACGACACUGUGGAAGAAACUUGUUAGGAUAAACAGUCUUCAGUGUGUGCAGAUUGUUGACAGAAUUUCAAGGCACAAAUUUAAGAGUAAUGAGUGUGUAAAAGGCAAGCAGGAAAAUCAGCACUACUGGGUAAGCAGAUGAGGGGGCUUAUUGAUAGGAGAGUCAGCUAUGUCAAAUAGGGACUCUAGGCGCAAAGUCAAUUUCUUUAUUGACAACUUUCAAUCCAAGUACUAGGAAUUUUGUAUUUGUAAAUUACUAGGUAGUGGCUCUGGCUAUUCUUGUUUUUUCAUUGAAUCUGUGAGCAUUUCUUAGUAUGUAUUGUGUGAUUCAGCAUAGAUUCAGACAUUGUAUAAUACCUACAAAUCCACCUAUUUCCCUUUUCCCUUCUCCAUUAACCUGCCGCCACUGAAAUCUGGAGCCAAAUAUAUCUGAUCAUUGGAUUUUUCUUUCUCAUACUUGGCAGUCUUCAAACUAUACUUUUGACACUAUCAGAACUCUGUACCACUCUUGUUUUUGUCUGAAUAAUUAGACAAGGAACCUAAACUACAAUGCCACUUCUCUAGGUGUCACUCUGUAACGGUUCAUGCCCAGCAGUCUGAAAUUUCUUUGUUUAAACGAAAGUUCAGAGGAAUUCAUGAGCAACUUGAACAGUUCAAGAUGUAAAUUUUAUUAAGCAAAUGUACAUAAUGUGAGGCAUACCUGUAAUUAAAUGAUCCUUUAUUUUAAUGUUAACAAUUAUUUUAUUAAUGGUUUUGUCUUACAUAGGCAAAAGUAAGAUUCUUAUCUUUGAUUGGAUUAGGUGAAUGAUGUGGGGUUUUUUGUUUUUAGUGCUUUCCAGCUGAGUAUUUCUAGUUUUGCUUGUGAUUAUAGUAAUUUUAACCAAUAUAGAUCCCAGUUUUAUUUUCUUUUUAAUUAGAACAAAUGCCAGUCUGUGAUGCCUGUUGAGUACUUUUCUGCUGAGCACUGCAUUAGAAAAAGACCAAUAAUCUUUUAGUAAUCUUUAAUGUUCUGCUCUUUAGAGAAUAUAAUUCAAAAUUAUAUACUUUUUAGCCAGUUACUAUGUUGUAUGUUUGUUAUAAUUAUUAGAAUGAGUGAUAAAACAAUUCAUCAUGACUUCUGGAAAAACCGUUCAGAUACCUGUCCUACUGCCAGUAGAAUUUCCCUCCUGGGGUACCGAUCAUACUGAGCAUCAGAUGUUAAAUGACAAUUUUAGUUGUGAUAGUUUAGAACGGUUCCUCAGACCCUGAUGGCUUUCUACCCAGUGUAGUUUAAACCUGGUGGGUUUUCCUGCUUUUUAUGUAAAAAUGAAAUGCUACUCAGUGGAUGGAAAAAAGCCAUUGCUUCACAGAACUUCAAGACUUCACCCAUAAAACGUAGCAGCCCUCCUUGCACAAAAUUUGUCCAGGUUAAAGCUGGCAUUGCCCUGCUGAGUAAAGUCUGACUUCUUGGCAAAGCAGCCUGACUUUGUGGAGAAGACAGCCAGUAUCUAUGAAAACUCUGCUAAACAAAUCUUCUAUAGACUCAUCUGGAAUGUGGCAACAGACAUUUUGAGCAAAAGCAGCCUUCGAGGCAAAACAGCAAAACUAAAGUCCAAAGGGAACAUUGGCAAUUCACAUGGAAAUACUCAGGCUGAGAGACAGAACUGUGGGAUGUGGAACCUGAAAUAGUGUCACCAUUUGAGCCAGUUCUGCUCCUUCCCAAUUGUCUUUUGUUAUGUUUUAAUAUUUUAGAGACAGAGUCUCACUGUUUUGCCUACACUGGAGUGCAGUGGCCCUUCCUAAUUGUUUAAUACAAUUUAUGCAUAUAAUCUAAUUAUAGCAAGGCAAGGAAGUGUAACUUUGAAAUACAUAAAUAGUAAACCUCGCAUCUUGGGGGUAGUGGGCAAACCAAGGGAAGGACUGUUCCUCCCACAGAGAGAACAUUAUGGGCUAGUCAUAUACUCAUUUACACGUGCUCUUUUUUAAAGCCCCCAAGUUCAUAUGGCUGCCAUCUGGACUAACUACUCAAAAAUUUUCACUCUGAUUCCUAUUUUGAAUAACAAUGCUUAUACUCACCAAUAAAUCUUUAGUUCAAAUGAACAAAAAGUUUCCUUGUUGAUUGACAUUAUUUCCAGCAAUUAUCUGUUUUCCUGUAAUUAAGUUUAUCUUGAGACUUAGGUAUGUUAAGCUACAGUAAAAUCUUCAUUAACCAAAAUUAUCAGAAAAUGAAACAAGGCCGGGUUCUGCUUAUUUGAACAACAUUACUAUAAUACUUUUUUCUUCUUCAACAUGUGUUCCUCAAAAAAGUAAAUUUUAGAAUCAGACAGCUGUGUGCAACUCCCAGCUACACACUUGAUAGCUAUUGACCAUAAACAAGGUAUGAACCUCUCUGUGCCUUUUGUUUC
This is a non-coding RNA of Chlorocebus sabaeus (green monkey), 4543 nucleotides long. The record is from RefSeq and is a predicted model, not a curated record. Lineage: Eukaryota; Metazoa; Chordata; Mammalia; Primates; Cercopithecidae.